AAGUCGUAACAAGGUUUCCGUAGGUGAACCUGCGGAAGGAUCAUUACCAAAACAAAGCGAACUUGGCCUCCAGGUCUUGAGAGCUUCAACCUCUUGUGAACCAAACCUUUAUUUUCGCUUCGGCAGCAGUGGCUUCUGUCAUGUCAGCCUGCCGUUAGCACCAAACCAAAACUUGCAGUAUCUCAUGUCUGAAAUCAAAUUUUUGAAUCAAAUCAAAACUUUCAACAACGGAUCUCUUGGUUCCC
This 245-nucleotide unclassified non-coding RNA is filed under the name Drechslerella dactyloides. RNAcentral's name for it is "partial internal transcribed spacer region". The stretch from base 1 to 46 matches the Rfam family "Eukaryotic small subunit ribosomal RNA", at positions 1786 to 1831 of the family's 1831-position model. RNAcentral also lists the same sequence under 1 other name. The record is from RNAcentral. Lineage: Eukaryota; Fungi; Ascomycota; Orbiliomycetes; Orbiliales; Orbiliaceae.